This 253-nucleotide ribosomal RNA is filed under the name uncultured bacterium. RNAcentral describes it as "partial 16S ribosomal RNA". It matches the Rfam family "Bacterial small subunit ribosomal RNA", at positions 524 to 776 of the family's 1533-position model. The record is from RNAcentral.
UACGGGGGGGGCAAGCGUUGUUCGGAAUUACUGGGCGUAAAGGGCGCGUAGGCGGCUCGCUAAGUCGGGUGUGAAAACUCUGGGCUCAACCCAGAGCCUGCAUUCGAAACUGACGGGCUAGAGUUCUGGAGGGGAAAGCGGAAUUCCUGGUGUAGCAGUGAAAUGCGUAGAUAUCGAGAGGAACACCAGUGGCGAAGGCGGCUCACUGGACCGGAACUGACGCUGAGGCGCGAAAGCGUGGGGAGCAAACAGG